Synechococcus sp. is the source of this 37-nucleotide non-coding RNA. Lineage: Bacteria; Bacillati; Cyanobacteriota; Cyanophyceae; Synechococcales; Synechococcaceae. The record is from Rfam.
AGUGUCCAAACCAUUGAUGCCGUAAGGCGUUGAGCAC